Molecule: ribosomal RNA, 511 nt
Filed under: uncultured bacterium
Lineage: Bacteria
Description: partial 16S ribosomal RNA
Rfam family: Bacterial small subunit ribosomal RNA
Source: RNAcentral
GACAAACGCUGGCGGCAUGCCUAACACAUGCAAGUCGAACGGACAGAACAGGGAAGCUUUUCGGAGUGGAACUGGAAAGUUAGUGGCGGAUGGGUGAGUAACGCGUGGACAACCUACCUUGUAAAGGGGAAUAACCUCGAGAAAUCGAAGCUAAUACCCCAUAAUAACCUUGCUUCGCAUGAAGUAAGGAGGAAAGGCGGCCUUAGCGCUGUCGAUACAAGAUGGGUCCGCGUCUGAUUAGCUAGUUGGUGAGGUAAAGGCUCACCAAGGCGACGAUCAGUAGCCGACCUGAGAGGGUGAACGGCCACAUUGAGACUGAGACACGGCCCAAACUCCUACGGGAGGCAGCAGUGGGGAAUCUUCCGCAAUGGGCGAAAGCCUGACGGAGCAAUGCCGCGUGAGUGAAGAAGGCCUUCGGGUUGUAAAACUCUGUCCUUAUCGAAGAGAGAGUGUUGUAGUAACUGACAAUACUAGGACGGUAGAUGAGGAGGAAGCCCCGGCUAACUAUGUG